UUAUGGCUCAGGAUGAACGCUGGCGGCGUGCCUAACACAUGCAAGUCGAGCGAUCUCUUCGGAAGAGAGCGGCGGACGGGUGAGUAACGCGUGGGUAACCUGCCCUGUACACACGGAUAACAUACCGAAAGGUAUGCUAAUACGGGAUAACAUACUUUUAUCGCAUGGUAGAAGUAUCAAAGCUCCGGCGGUACAGGAUGGACCCGCGUCUGAUUAGCUAGUUGGUAAGGUAACGGCUUACCAAGGCGACGAUCAGUAGCCGACCUGAGAGGGUGAUCGGCCACAUUGGAACUGAGACACGGUCCAAACUCCUACGGGAGGCAGCAGUGGGGAAUAUUGCACAAUGGGCGAAAGCCUGAUGCAAGCAACGCCGCGUGAGCGAUGAAGGCCUUCGGGUCGUAAAGCUCUGUCCUCAAGGAAGAUAAUGACGGUACUUGAGGAGGAAGCCCCGGCUAACUACGUGCCAGCAGCCGC
RNAcentral lists this ribosomal RNA (474 nucleotides) under uncultured bacterium. Its description in RNAcentral is "bacterial SSU rRNA". It matches the Rfam family "Bacterial small subunit ribosomal RNA", at positions 17 to 518 of the family's 1533-position model. The record is from RNAcentral.